GCGCUUUUUCCCAUCGCGCAACGGACUUAAAAUCCGUUGAUCGAAAGGUCGUCCCGGUUCGAGUCCGGGCGCGGGCACCA
RNAcentral lists this transfer RNA (80 nucleotides) under Rhodospirillaceae bacterium. Its description in RNAcentral is "tRNA-Leu". It matches the Rfam family "tRNA", at positions 10 to 71 of the family's 71-position model. Rfam says of the family: Transfer RNA (tRNA) molecules are approximately 80 nucleotides in length. Lineage: Bacteria; Pseudomonadati; Pseudomonadota; Alphaproteobacteria; Rhodospirillales; Rhodospirillaceae. The record is from RNAcentral.